RNAcentral lists this ribosomal RNA (253 nucleotides) under uncultured bacterium. RNAcentral describes it as "partial 16S ribosomal RNA". It matches the Rfam family "Bacterial small subunit ribosomal RNA", at positions 524 to 776 of the family's 1533-position model. RNAcentral also lists the same sequence under 1 other name. The record is from RNAcentral.
UACGUAGGGGGCAAGCGUUGUCCGGAAUUAUUGGGCGUAAAGAGCUCGUAGGCGGUCCAUUAAGUCAGAUGUGAAAUCUCAGGGCUCAACCCUGAGCCUGCAUCUGAUACUGGUGGACUUGAGGCAGGUAGGGGAAGGUGGAAUUCCUGGUGUAGCGGUGAAAUGCGCAGAUAUCAGGAGGAACACCAGUGGCGAAGGCGGCCUUCUGGGCCUGUUCUGACGCUGAGGAGCGAAAGCGUGGGGAGCGAACAGG